RNAcentral lists this ribosomal RNA (803 nucleotides) under uncultured Gemmatimonas sp. Its description in RNAcentral is "bacterial SSU rRNA". It matches the Rfam family "Bacterial small subunit ribosomal RNA", at positions 8 to 796 of the family's 1533-position model. The record is from RNAcentral. Lineage: Bacteria; Pseudomonadati; Gemmatimonadota; Gemmatimonadia; Gemmatimonadales; Gemmatimonadaceae.
AGAGUUUGAUCAUGGCUCAGGACGAACGCUGGCGGCGCGCUUAACACAUGCAAGUCGAACGCUCUCACCCCUUCGGGGGUGGGGGAGUGGCGAACGGGUGCGUAACACGUGAGCGACCUGCCCCUGUGUGGGGGAUAACCCGGGGAAACCCGGGCUAAUACCGCAUGCGCUCCUCGGGCUGCAUGGCUCUUGGAGGAAAGGUGCUGCAAGGCACCACGCAGGGAGGGGCUCGCGGCGUAUCAGGUAGUUGGUGAGGUCACGGCUCACCAAGCCGACGACGCGUAGGGGGUCUGAAAGGAUGGCCCCCCACAUUGGGACUGAGAUACGGCCCAGACUCCUACGGGAGGCAGCAGUGGAGAAUCUUGCGCAAUGGCCGAAAGGCUGACGCAGCGACGCCGCGUGCGGGAGGACGCCCUUCGGGGUGUAAACCGCUGUCGGCGGGGACGAACCCCUGGGGGAGGAAAUGCCCUCAGGCUGACGGUACCCGCAGAGGAAGCACCGGCUAACUCCGUGCCAGCAGCCGCGGUAAUACGGAGGGUGCGAGCGUUGUUCGGAAUUAUUGGGCGUAAAGCGCACGUAGGCGGUCGGGUCAGUCUCGUGGUGAAAGGCCGGGGCUCAACCCCGUGCUGGCCAGGGAUACUGCCCGACUGGAGACAGGGAGAGGCCAGUGGAAUUCCGGGUGUAGCGGUGGAAUGCGUAGAGAUCCGGAAGAACACCGGAGGCGAAGGCGGCUGGCUGGCCCUGAUCUGACGCUGAGGUGCGAAAGCGUGGGGAGCGAACAGGAUUAGAUACCCCAGUAGUCC